GCACGGGUGCGUAACGCGUGGGAAUCUGCCCUUUGCUUCGGAAUAACAGUUAGAAAUGACUGCUAAUACCGGAUGAUGUCGCAAGACCAAAGAUUUUUUAUUCCCCCCGGCAAGGGAUGAGCCCGCGUAGGAUUAGGUAGUUGGUGGGGUAAAGGCUCACCAAGCCGACGAUCCUUAGCUGGUCUGAGAGGAUGAUCAGCCACACUGGGACUGAGACACGGCCCAGACUCCUACGGGAGGCAGCAGUGGGGAAUAUUGGACAAUGGGCGAAAGCCUGAUCCAGCAAUGCCGCGUGAGUGAUGAAGGCCUUAGGGUUGUAAAGCUCUUUUACCAGGGAUGAUAAUGACAGUACCUGGAGAAUAAGCUCCGGCUAACUCCGCGCCAGCAGCCGCGGUAAUACGGAGGAUCCAAGCGUUAUCCGGAUUUAUUGGGUUUAAAGGGUGCGUAGGUGGCCUGUUAAGUCAGGGGUGAAAGACGGUAGCUUAACUAUCGCAGUGCCCUUGAUACUGAUGGGCUUGAAUGAACUAGAGGUAGGCGGAAUGUGACAAGUAGCGGUGAAAUGCAUAGAUAUGUCACAGAACACCA
RNAcentral lists this ribosomal RNA (585 nucleotides) under uncultured bacterium. RNAcentral describes it as "bacterial SSU rRNA". It matches the Rfam family "Bacterial small subunit ribosomal RNA", at positions 100 to 711 of the family's 1533-position model. The record is from RNAcentral.